AAUGAAUGAAGAUCUUGCUCUUAUUAAGUUACCGGCGGAUGGGUGAUUAACACGUGUCUAACCGGCCCAUAAGGGAGGGAUAACUCCGGGAAACCGGGGCUAAUACCGGUCAACAUUUUGAACCUGAGGGAUCUUCAUUGAAAGGCCGCUUCGACUGUCCCUUAUGGAAGGACCCGCGUCGCAAUAUCUAGGUGGUGAGGUAACAGCUCACCAAGGUGACCAUACAUAACCAACCUGAGAGGGUGAUCUGCCACACUGGGACUGAGACUCGGCCCAGACUCCUACGGGAGGCAGCAAUAGGGAAUCUUCCGCAGUGGACGAAAUUCUGACGGAGCAACGCCGCGUGAGUGAUUAAGGCUUUCGGGUCGUAAAACUCUGUUGUUAGGGAAUAACACCUGCUAGUUGAAUAAUCUGGCACCUUGACGGUACCUAACCACUUCGCCACGGCUAACUACGUGCCACCAACCGCG
RNAcentral lists this ribosomal RNA (470 nucleotides) under Bacillus cereus. Its description in RNAcentral is "bacterial SSU rRNA". It matches the Rfam family "Bacterial small subunit ribosomal RNA", at positions 69 to 519 of the family's 1533-position model. The record is from RNAcentral. Lineage: Bacteria; Bacillati; Bacillota; Bacilli; Caryophanales; Bacillaceae.